AUACGGAGGACGCGAGCGUUAUCCGGAUUCAUUGGGUUUAAAGGGCGCGCAGGCGGCCGUGCAAGUCAGCGGUGAAAGCCCGGGGCUCAACCCCGGAAGUGCCGUUGAUACUGCGUGGCUGGAAUGCGGUCGAGGCGGGCGGAACGUGGCGGGUAGCGGGGAAAUGCGUAGAUAUGCCACAGAACGCCGAUAGCGGAGGCAGCUCGCCAGGCCUGCAUUGACGCUCGGGCACGAAAGCGUGGGGAUCGAACAGGAUUAGAUACCCUGGUAGUCCACGCCGUAAACGAUGGGCGCUCGUCGUCGGCGACAGACAGUCGGCGGCCAAGCGAAAGCGAUAAGCGCCCCACCUGGGGAGUACGGUCGCAAGGCUGAAACUCAAAGGAAUUGGCGGGG
RNAcentral lists this ribosomal RNA (393 nucleotides) under uncultured bacterium. RNAcentral describes it as "partial 16S ribosomal RNA". It matches the Rfam family "Bacterial small subunit ribosomal RNA", at positions 523 to 918 of the family's 1533-position model. The record is from RNAcentral.